RNAcentral lists this ribosomal RNA (263 nucleotides) under uncultured bacterium. Its description in RNAcentral is "partial 16S ribosomal RNA". It matches the Rfam family "Bacterial small subunit ribosomal RNA", at positions 793 to 1055 of the family's 1533-position model. The record is from RNAcentral.
GUCCACGCCGUAAACGAUGAAUACUAGGUGUAGGGGUUGUCAUGACCUCUGUGCCGCCGCUAACGCAUUAAGUAUUCCGCCUGGGGAGUACGGUCGCAAGAUUAAAACUCAAAGGAAUUGACGGGGGCCCGCACAAGCAGCGGAGCAUGUGGUUUAAUUCGAAGCAACGCGAAGAACCUUACCUAGACUUGACAUCUCCUGCAUUACCCUUAACCGGGGAAGUUCCUUCGGGAACAGGAAGACAGGUGGUGCAUGGUUGUCGU